RNAcentral lists this ribosomal RNA (223 nucleotides) under Bacteroides sp. DMBCT7. RNAcentral's name for it is "partial 16S ribosomal RNA". It matches the Rfam family "Bacterial small subunit ribosomal RNA", at positions 1071 to 1294 of the family's 1533-position model. Lineage: Bacteria; Pseudomonadati; Bacteroidota; Bacteroidia; Bacteroidales; Bacteroidaceae. The record is from RNAcentral.
GGUGUCGGCUUAAGUGCCAUAACGAGCGCAACCCUUGCCUUCAGUUGCCAUCGGGUGAUGCUGGGGACUCUGGAGGGACUGCCACCGCAAGGUGCGAGGAAGGGGGGGAUGACGUCAAAUCAGCACGGCCCUUACAUCCGGGGCUACACACGUGUUACAAUGGGGGGUACAGAGGGCCGCCAUCCGGCGACGGAGCGCCAAUCCCUAAAGCCCCUCCCAGUUC